Molecule: non-coding RNA, 22 nt
Filed under: Arabidopsis thaliana (thale cress)
Lineage: Eukaryota; Viridiplantae; Streptophyta; Magnoliopsida; Brassicales; Brassicaceae
Source: RNAcentral
UCCUCUUUCAUGUGGCCAGGUU